CUCUUCGGGGAUGAUUAAACCGGCGCACGGGUGAGUAACACGUGAGUGACCUGCCUUUUAGACUGGAACAACUUACCGAAAGGUGAGCUAAUGCCGGAUGAGUUAUAUAAGUGCAUGUUUAUAUAGGAAAAGUUGGGGAGACCUGACGCUGAAAGAUGGACUCGCGUCCCAUUAGCUAGUUGGUAGGGUAAUGGCCUACCAAGGCGACGAUGGGUAGCCGGCCUGAGAGGGUGGCCGGCCACACUGGGACUGAGACACGGCCCAGACUCCUACGGGAGGCAGCAGUGGGGAAUUUUGCGCAAUGCUCGUAAGAGUGACGCAGCGACGCCGCGUGAAUGACGAAGGCCUUCGGGUCGUAAAGUUCUUUCGACAGGGAAGAAAAUGCCUAUAAGUAACUGUGUAUGUAUUGACGGUACCUGUAUAAGCAGCCCCGGCUAACUCCGUGCCAGCAGCCGCGGUAAUACGGAGGGGGCGAGCGUUGUUCGGAGUGACUGGGCGUAAAGAGCACGUAGGCGGUGUUGUAAGUCAUUAGUCAAAGACUAGAGCUCAACUUUAGUAAGGCUAGUGAUACUAUAAUACUAGAGUAUCAGAGAGGAUUGCAGAAUUCCUGGUGUAGCGGUGAAAUGCGUAGAUAUCAGGAGGAAUACCGUUAGCGAAGGCGGCAAUCUGGCUGGAAACUGACGCUGAGGUGCGAAAGCGUGGGUAGCAAACAGGAUUAGAUACCCUGGUAGUCCACGCUGUAAACGAUGGAUGCUAGGUGUUGGGCUUUUAAGCUCAGUGCCGCAGCAAACGCGAUAAGCAUCCCGCCUGGGGAGUAC
This 818-nucleotide ribosomal RNA is filed under the name uncultured bacterium. Its description in RNAcentral is "bacterial SSU rRNA". It matches the Rfam family "Bacterial small subunit ribosomal RNA", at positions 76 to 883 of the family's 1533-position model. The record is from RNAcentral.